This 253-nucleotide ribosomal RNA is filed under the name uncultured bacterium. RNAcentral's name for it is "partial 16S ribosomal RNA". It matches the Rfam family "Bacterial small subunit ribosomal RNA", at positions 524 to 776 of the family's 1533-position model. The record is from RNAcentral.
UACGUAGGGUCCGAGCGUUGUCCGGAGUUAUUGGGCGUAAAGCGCGCGCAGGUGGUUUCUUAAGUCUGAUGUGAAAGCCCACGGCUCAACCGUGGAGGGUCAUUGGAAACUGGGGAACUUGAGUGCAGAAGAGGAAAGUGGAAUUCCAAGUGUAGCGGUGAAAUGCGUAGAGAUUUGGAGGAACACCAGUGGCGAAGGCGACUUUCUGGUCUGUAACUGACACUGAGGCGCGAAAGCGUGGGGAGCAAACAGG